RNAcentral lists this long non-coding RNA (537 nucleotides) under Rhinopithecus bieti (black snub-nosed monkey). Its description in RNAcentral is "lncRNA (ENSRBIG00000045241.1)". Lineage: Eukaryota; Metazoa; Chordata; Mammalia; Primates; Cercopithecidae. The record is from RNAcentral.
CAUAUUUUCCCAUAGGAGCAAUGUUGUCAUAAAGGGCCUUGUUCUUGGCUGAGAAUUUCACAUCCAAUAAAUCAAACCGAUGACCAACAAUAUGGCGGAAAAGCAGAACCAAACAAUAAAAUUACACUUCAAAGUCCAAGGAUUUCAGAACUCAAAGGGACCUCAGAGACGAUAGAUUUGCAGAGGAUGCAGCAGGUGAGUCCUGUGUACGUCAGAGGAGCUUCUACGCUGCACAGCGGCCACUCGGGGGGACAUUACUGGCCUCGAUCACAUCAUGGAGACCACAUGGAUGCUGGGAAUGCACUUCCCAUUGGCCGAGCUGAGGACAGGAGCAGGCUGUGGAGUUUCUGAUUGCCUUGAACUGCCAGAAAAAGCUGCUGUAAAACCUCGAUAUAUCACUGCUGCUCAAAACCACCCAAACCAUCUUCAACCCUCUGCCCUCUGGCAUGUGACUGGCCUGCGUUUCAGGAGGUGAAAGAUCAGACCUUUGUGAUUUGUUAAAGCACUCAGCAACCCAGAAAUAAACAUGCACGCCGA